This 258-nucleotide ribosomal RNA is filed under the name uncultured bacterium. RNAcentral's name for it is "partial small subunit ribosomal RNA". It matches the Rfam family "Bacterial small subunit ribosomal RNA", at positions 26 to 285 of the family's 1533-position model. The record is from RNAcentral.
AGGACGAACGCUGGCGGCGUGCUUAACACAUGCAAGUCGAACGGUAAGGCCCUUUCGGGGGUACACGAGUGGCGAACGGGUGAGUAACACGUGGGUGACCUGCCCCCUACUCUGGGAUAAGCUUGGGAAACUGGGUCUAAUACCGGAUAUGACAUGUUCCUGCAUGGGGAUGUGUGGUAAAGUUUUUGUGGUGGGGGAUGGGCCCGCGGCCUAUCAGCUUGUUGGUGGGGUGAUGGCCUACCAAGGCUUCGACGGGUA